AACUCUUCAUUUUACUCAUUUUACCCUUAAUAAGAAGUUUUGAUAACCACACAAAUGUCAUGGCCCCACAAAGAUUUUACCCUUUAAGCUUUUAAGACAACAAAUUUCAAAAAUCUUUUUUUUUCUUAAAUUCCGUGUCGAGUCAACCCACCUCAUCUAAAAUUUGGAGUUGUUGUGGGACCCACUAUUCCACUUGUUAUUUGACUGCUUUGUGCCUCUCUUCAAUUUGUGUUGUGUUUCUGCUGGGGGGACACAAAUCUAUAGGAAUGUGAAUCUCUCAUUCUACUUUUAGAGAGUACUGAUUUUAAAAAUUCAGUCUACUUGUUCUCUGUAUUUUAUGCCUUUUUCUUUUGGCUUCUUCAUUUAAGAGUAUGAUUUUAGAUUCUUUGAGCAUAGUUAAUUUAAUCUUGUUGGCUUUCUUCAUGUGAUCAUGUUUCAUUGUGGGUCGUGUACAUGGAUGUAGUUUUUUUUUUUUCAACCGCUUGCGGGAAAACUCGGCUAAGCACAAAGAUGUAGCCAAUGUGUUUGACGAAAUGCCUAAAACAACUGAGCAAUAUUUAUUUGUUUUCUUAAUUUUUCUGUUCCCACAUAUGCUCUUUCUUCAUGUCAAUUUCUAUGAGAAAGCUUCUUCCAUGUCUCGCCUCCAAGCCCUCUUUUUUAAACAACAAUGGAGGCUAAAAGCAAUAUAUUUGCCACCUCUAAUGUUGUCGACAUAAAUCGACGGUGGUCGUCCAUUGGCUGAAGCUCGGCUAAGCAUUGCCAGGAAUUUCACAAGAAGACGUCAUUCGAUUGAGACUCCAGCAUUCUUGCCUUCUCUAGUGAGUGACAAUUGGGUCUUUAUUGCGUUGUGGUGGGCAAGAUAUGUAACAAGGGAAAAGCAGUUGCAAUCCUCUUGCAGUGGCCCAUAUUGCUCCUAUUGCAGCGAAGAAAUCAAAGAGGCCAAAAACUUGCUCUCAAAUAUGAUAGACGCAGGACCACCACCUGGCAAUGCAGACUUCAAUACAAUUAUCAGUGUACUCUCCAAUAGUGGAGAAUUGGGAGAAACGAGUAAAAUAUUGAAGGUAAUGGAGGAUAGAGGUUUGAAACCUAAUGUAUACACUUACAGUGCAAUUAUGAGUGGUUACCGAAGUGGGAUCAGAUGGAGGAGGCUUGUACGAUUUUUGAUAAAGCCAAAAAGAAGCUCGAAUUAAUUGUGGUUAUUGCAAGCUCGAACAGAUUGAUAAGCCUCUGAAACUAUUAAGAGAGAUGGAACCUAAUGCUGAUGAAUAUAACAAACUUAUUCAAUCUCUAUGCGUGAAGGUUUUAAAUUGGACAACAGAGAAGCUGCUAGAGGACGCGAAUGAGAAUGGGUUGCAUCUAAAUGCAAUCACAAAUGGUCUUUAAUGAGCAGUUAUGGAGCUAGAACAAGAAGGAGCAGGAGACACGAACAGACGCGGAUUUGGGAUUUAAACUCUAUGAGUUCAACAUUUGUGGUUCUUAGAGCAUUGAACACAUAAUAUAUUUAAAGUUAUGGGCUAAGAUGAACCCGGUACAACAUAGUUGCAUCCAACCCCCAACAUGAAGUAAUGACAACCGCAUAGUAGAGUAUGUUGAUUCAUCAAAGAAUUGUUCGACAAAUAUUGCUGGUGGUAUAUUUUCUUCUGAGUUAUCACGGAGUUCAAGGAGAAAUAAAGUUUUCCAAACUAGAGGAACGGGUGUUGGAGAAGCAACUUAAACUUUUGAACAAGCCAACUGUGAAAACAAUUAAGCUUGCAAUAUUUCGGACUCCAAAUGAUCCAAAUAGCAAGUAUGCGGGAGCUGGAAUGUCAGCUGGUCUAUGGAAUCCUCGUGUUGAAAGUCAUCAACAUAAUGCAUUACACAAAUUGGUUGGAGUAUAAGUUUAGCAACUUGUUCAUUUAUAACUUUACUAGUUUUUUUUACUUCAAUAGCUCCAAACUUCUUAAGAGGAGAAAUACAGAGAAGGGAAUGGGAUGAAGAUUGAAUAUUAUACCUCUAAGAUAUUCAUCAUUGAUCUUCCACUCAAUAGUUAUGAAAGCUCUCUUUCUUAUUUUAGGUGGAUCCAACAUUAUAUGGAGAUACUAAAACUAGACUUUUUACUCAUUUCCAAGCUGGAAGUAAACAUUGCUUCAAUACACUAUGCCCUGGCUUUGUUGCGUCAAUACACUAUGCCCUGGCUUUGUACAAUAAACACUGAGAUACCUAUGUAGAUUGAUCGGUAAAAGGAUCUUGCCAAUGGAAACUGGUGGCUUUUGCUGGGAGAAAAUUAUACACAAGUUGGCUUUUGGCCACAGGAUUUUCGCUGCAUUGGCAAACUUUGCUACCAAUGUUGAGUGGGGAGGAGUUGCAUAUAGUUUGUCAAGUGUACCUGAACCUCCAAUGGGCUCGGGCCGUUUUCCUAUUAUAGACUCUAGUUAUGAAGCUUAUUGUAGGGGGCCUCAUAGUUUUAAAUGAUAAAGGUGAGACGGCAGAUGCAGAGAAAAUACAUAUAUUUGUUGAUGAUCCAAAAUUGUACCGAGUAAUUGAUGAACUAUA
Molecule: non-coding RNA, 2532 nt
Organism: Nicotiana tabacum (common tobacco)
Lineage: Eukaryota; Viridiplantae; Streptophyta; Magnoliopsida; Solanales; Solanaceae
Source: RefSeq, a predicted model, not a curated record